ACUGAUAGAUGUUAAGUUCUGAUAUUUUCUUACUCAAAGAAGUCAACAUGCUUACAUUGAUACUAUAUCACAAUGGAUAAGAAAUGAGACAAGAGUAAGACUUAGCUCUUAGGAAGCCCGACUGCCCUGUUCCCAUCAAGUUAGAACGGCGAACCUCACCGUUUCAGGACCCAGCGUCGACGACAGCCCUUACUGAUUUCCUUUGAAGCAAAACACAAUCUGUGGAACCCAAGCCGACGGCACGACGGCACAUCGAACCGGAACCGCGGUGACAUCGCUGGGUUCAGGUAGAGAGAGAUAAUUAGGGCUCGGUACGAUUUUGAGGUUGGGAGUUUGAGAAAAUGAGAAGGAUUGAGUGAAGAGGAUGAGAGAGGGAAGGGCUGCACCUCGCCGACCCUCCACUGGCAGCGGCGAUUCGCCGGAGGAGCAGCUAGGGCACGUAUUUUGUGAGUAAAGUUUGGGGCUUUGUGUCUUCUUCAUAAGAAUUGAGAGAGUGGGGAUUGAGAGGGAGACGAGGGAAGNAGCGGCGAUUCGCCGGAGGAGCAGCUAGGGCACGAUUUUGUGAGAAAUUUUGGGGCUUUGUGUCUUCUUCAUAAGAAUUGAGAGAUGGGGGAUUGAGAAGGAGACGAGGGAAGGGCUGCACCUCGCCGACCCUCCACUGGCAGCGAUUCGCCGGAGGAGCAGCUAGGGCACGAUUUUGUGAGUAAAUUUGGGGCUUUGUGUCUUCUUCAUAAGAAUUGAGAGAUGGGGGAUUGAGAGGGAGACGAGGGAAAGGAGACGAGGGAAGUGUGACGAGCUUGGUGGCUGUCGUUGCUGCGGCCGCGGAGGACAGAGGGAGGGCGUGAUUCUAUGGCCGGAGUUGAGAGAGAGAGAAAGCUGGGGGAUGAGGGACGAGAUAGAGAGUAGGGGGUAAAGGGAGGAAUGUUAGAGUUUUAUUUUUUAUAAUAUUAUUAAAUUUAAAA
This 962-nucleotide long non-coding RNA is filed under the name Salvia miltiorrhiza (redroot sage). RNAcentral describes it as "long non-coding RNA (SMIL_LNC004805)". Lineage: Eukaryota; Viridiplantae; Streptophyta; Magnoliopsida; Lamiales; Lamiaceae. The record is from RNAcentral.